This is a long non-coding RNA of Poecilia latipinna (sailfin molly), 783 nucleotides long. RefSeq lists it as uncharacterized. Lineage: Eukaryota; Metazoa; Chordata; Actinopteri; Cyprinodontiformes; Poeciliidae. The record is from RefSeq and is a predicted model, not a curated record. The transcript is spliced from 2 exons.
CAGGAAAAUCAACAACCCAUCUGAGCAGCAGGACGUGAACCUCAACCGAAGGCGUUUUAACAAUCAGUGACAUCACACAGCUUAGGUGCUGUGACCAAGCCAGCAAACUGACCGUCUCACACAAACCAGAACACACACAUGCAAAAACCCACACCCCUAAACGCACCAGAGCUGGCUCUGGACGAACCGAUUCGGGCCAGAAGAAGCAGCCCAGCAGCAACGGGCCGGGGUGGGGCAAAGAGGCACAGUAGGAGGACAGCCAGCCCUGGCGAGUGCAUCGCCUCUCCAAGACAACUGUUGACAAGCCAGAGGGGCCUAACUGGGCCAAAGUCCCACAAACUGAAUGGUUUCCAUUGAUAAAACGCUUCCUGGAGGCAGGAGGGGGAAGAAGGGAUGACGGGAGACAAGGAAGAGGCGAGAAAGGCUGGGAUGAGAGGGAGAGGAAGACAUGGAGGAGAGAUGUCAACAGGACAAAAUGAGGAAAAAUGAAGGAAGGAAAUUCAGAGAGAAACAAACAAACUGGACAAGGAGAAUUCAGAACAGAAAGAUCAACAGAGAAAAUAAGAGGAGGAACAAGAAAAGAUGGACAAGGACGAUACAAAGGCAUGUAACGUUAUGUAAGAACCAAUAAACAGCAAGGAAGUUAAAUUAAACACACUUUAACUCUGAAGCAGUUUGAAGGACAAAUGCUAACACUAACACCCUCAUAAUGUUAUGUUAAUGUUGACCAGGAGUCCCUCUUAAACAUGUUCACUAUCAGAAUAAACACAGACAGAAAGCUGG